Molecule: ribosomal RNA, 464 nt
Filed under: uncultured Comamonadaceae bacterium
Lineage: Bacteria; Pseudomonadati; Pseudomonadota; Betaproteobacteria; Burkholderiales; Comamonadaceae
Description: bacterial SSU rRNA
Rfam family: Bacterial small subunit ribosomal RNA
Source: RNAcentral
AUUGAACGCUGGCGGAAUGCCUUUACACAUGCAAGUCGAACGGGCAGCACGGACUUCGGUCUGGUGGCGAGUGGCGAACGGGUGAGUAAUAUAUCGGAACGUGCCCAGUCGUGGGGGAUAACGUAGUGAAAAUUACGCUAAUACCGCAUACGAUCUAAGGAUGAAAGCGGGGGAUCGCAAGACCUCGCGCGAUUGGAGCGGCCGAUAUCAGAUUAGGUAGUUGGUGAGGUAAAGGCUCACCAAGCCCGCGAUCUGUAGCUGGUCUGAGAGGACGACCAGCCACACUGGAACUGAGACACGGUCCAGACUCCUACGGGAGGCAGCAGUGGGGAAUUUUGGACAAUGGACGCAAGUCUGAUCCAGCCAUUCCGCGUGCAGGAUGAAGGCCCUCGGGUUGUAAACUGCUUUUGUACGGAACGAAAAGGUCUCUCCUAAUACGAGGGGCUCAUGACGGUACCGUAAGA